AACUUUCAGCAACGGAUCUCUUGGCUCUCGCAUCGAUGAAGAACGCAGCGAAAUGCGAUAAGUAAUGUGAAUUGCAGAAUUCAGUGAAUCAUCGAAUCUUUGAACGCACCUUGCGCUCCUUGGUAUUCCUUGGAGCAUGCCUGUUUGAGUAUCA
Molecule: ribosomal RNA, 154 nt
Filed under: Ceriporia aurantiocarnescens
Lineage: Eukaryota; Fungi; Basidiomycota; Agaricomycetes; Polyporales; Irpicaceae
Also listed under: 1 other name
Description: 5.8S ribosomal RNA
Rfam family: 5.8S ribosomal RNA
About the family: 5.8S ribosomal RNA (5.8S rRNA) is a component of the large subunit of the eukaryotic ribosome. It is transcribed by RNA polymerase I as part of the 45S precursor that also contains 18S and 28S rRNA. Functionally, it is thought that 5.8S rRNA may be involved in ribosome translocation.
Source: RNAcentral